CGUAACUAUUGAUUGAGUGACACCUCUGUAAGGCUGAGGUAGAUCAAGCUUGUAGGGAUUAGAGGUUUCUGAUCGUGGUUUAGAUCAAAGAAGAUUUGUAUUUGAGAUCGGUAGUAUCUCGAGAUCAUAGUGGAAAACUCACAGGCGUGGGGACUGGACUAGCCCAGGAUUUGGGUGAACCAGUAUAAUUUUUGUGUGUGAAUCUCUCUUACCUUUAACUAUUUAUUUACUGCAUACACACAUCACACAAACCACUUAAUCUACAUUCACUUUGAAUUCUCACGCAGCAGAGAACAUUCUCAGAACAAGCUCACGCAGCAGAGAACAU
This 328-nucleotide long non-coding RNA is filed under the name Trifolium pratense (red clover). Its description in RNAcentral is "long non-coding RNA (TPRA_LNC007113)". Lineage: Eukaryota; Viridiplantae; Streptophyta; Magnoliopsida; Fabales; Fabaceae. The record is from RNAcentral.